This 376-nucleotide ribosomal RNA is filed under the name Decameria similis. RNAcentral's name for it is "partial 12S ribosomal RNA". The record is from RNAcentral. Lineage: Eukaryota; Metazoa; Arthropoda; Insecta; Hymenoptera; Pergidae.
UAAUGUUGUAUAAAUAAAAUAAUUAAGUAUUAAAAGAUAUGUUCUUUAAAUUUAAAAAAAUUGGCAGUAUUUUAUCUUAUUAGGGGAAUUUGUUUAAUAAAUGAUAAUCCACGAGAAACCUUACUUUAUAAAAAAAUUUAUGUAUUUCCGUUAACAGAAAAUUUUUAAAAAAAAAUAAUUUUCUAGUUUUUUUAGAAAAAAUUAUUUCAGGUCACAAUGUAGUUUAUAAUAAAGUUAAAAUGAAUUACAAUAAAAUUUAUUUAUUAUGAAUUUUAAGUUGAAAAUAUUUAAUUGAAGGUGGACUUAAUAGUAAAAGAAUUAUAAUAAAAAAUUUUUGAAAGAAAAAAUUGUAUAAAAUUAUUGAUCUAAAAUAUGU